UGGGGAAUAUUGCGCAAUGGGCGAAAGCCUGACGCAGCGACGCCGCGUGAGGGAUGAAGGCUUUCGGAUCGUAAACCUCUGUCAGAAGGGAAGAAAACGCACUUUGCUAAUCAGCAGUGCCUUGACGGUACCUUCAAAGGAAGCACCGGCUAACUCCGUGCCAGCAGCCGCGGUAAUACGGAGGGUGCAAGCGUUGAUCGGAAUUACUGGGCGUAAAGCGCACGUAGGCUGCUUUGUAAGUCAGGGGUGAAAUCCCACGGCUCAACCGUGGAACUGCCUUUGAUACUGUUUAGCUUGAAUCCGGGAGAGGGUGGCGGAAUUCCAGGUGUAGGGGUGAAAUCCGUAGAUAUCUGGAGGAACAUCAGUGGCGAAGGCGGCCACCUGGACCGGUAUUGACGCUGAGGUGCGAAAGCGUGGGGAGCAAACAAG
Molecule: ribosomal RNA, 429 nt
Filed under: Fusobacteriota bacterium
Lineage: Bacteria; Fusobacteriati; Fusobacteriota
Description: Fusobacteria bacterium partial 16S ribosomal RNA
Rfam family: Bacterial small subunit ribosomal RNA
Source: RNAcentral